Molecule: RNA transcript, 14642 nt
Organism: Felis catus (domestic cat)
Lineage: Eukaryota; Metazoa; Chordata; Mammalia; Carnivora; Felidae
Gene: GPR146
Gene name: G protein-coupled receptor 146
Exons: 5
Source: RefSeq, a predicted model, not a curated record
GCCGUCUCCCAGGGGUUUGGGGGCACUGUCCCCUUGUGGGGUGGAGGCGUUGUUCCCCAGAGGUCUGGGGGCACCGGCCCACUUGCGGGCGGGGUGGGGGCGCUGUCCCCAGCCUGGGGCAGCCCUCCCGCUGAGCUAACCGGGCAGCCGCCCUGCGGUCAUUAACCUGUGGAGGGUUCCUCCGGUGUCCUGCGGGGAGGGGGAGGGGGAGGGGGUGAGAGGGAAAGGAGGCUGACGGCUGACCGUGCUUAUAGCUUCCCUCCUCUUUGUGAUUACACAAUUUUUAGUAAGUUCUGGAACUACGUCUGAGUGCAGUUAUCAAGUCUGUUGCCGACUGUCUCGGACACUUGCUGAAAACGCGACUCCCCUGGGUAUGGAAAGGCUCCCGCAAAACUUCCUAGGAAGGCAGCGGCCCCCAGCCUUUGAACACCCACCUGCUCUGCGGGCAGCAAGUGCUGCCAGGACACCUCAGCUCUGGUCCCGAGGCUGGGCCUCGUCUCUUGGGGGGAGCCUGCGGGAGCCUGCGCAUGUGAUGUCCCCUCACCGGAGAGGCCCUCCUCUGAGAUCUCCCAGCUUUAAGCUGAGCAGCCAGCAGAGCGGGAGGCUGGAAGCCGGUUGCACAGACCUCUGCAAACACAAGAGUAGGACUAAAAUGGCUCUGACCCUGUUCCCAGGCUGCUCAUGCACGGUGACCAGAUCCUCCACUGUCCCCACCGGGUCUAGCUGGGGCACGGCUGGGAGCGAACAGAGGCGCUAUUAAUAAUUACGCACAGCGUACGGCCACCGUCCGUGGCCCGCGGCAGAGCUCCUAAAGGAACUGCUGUGGGGCCCGGCUCUCCAGACCAGAACCUCUGCUCUCUCCCCGAACGAAGCAGGCCUCUCGACACCUAGCUUCUAAAAACUGGAGCUCGUAUUUGGGGAGUGCUUACCAGGCCCCUCGACACAGGAAGCUGGGCCAGAGCGGAAAGCCCGUGGCCCGGGGCCACACGCCGCUCUCUGACCAUGGGGUGUCCUGCCUCUCCAGUCAGGAUGGAAACCUCCAGGGGAUAGAGGGACGCGGCUCGAGGCCAGAGGCCAGCACGUAACUGUCAGCGUUGACCUGGCGUUCCCGCAAGUCAGAGCGCAUGGUAGGUUGAUGGAAGCCAAGGCACAGAAAGCAAGCCGCCGAUGUCUUGCCUCAAAAUGCUUCUAACAGGCCGCCUAACGGGCGGGUGGGCCUUGCCAGCAGUGAAGAGGGCCAGUCGCUGCGGAGAGGCCUCUCCGGCGUCCUCCUAAGGGAGGGCUGGAAAAGAACGGACCAGAGCCGUCCUGCGUCCUGGCUUGUCUGCACGCCGUGAGCGCAUGCGAGGGAAGCACACGCGAGGGAAGCACACGCUUACUUAUGCCCCAGUUGAAUCCCGCCGUCAUGUGGAGCUGCGGCCCGCUCAACGGCACGGGCGGCGCGGAGGACCAGCCGCUGUGCCAGCACCUGCAUCUGGUCCUGUCCGUCUUCUCCCUGCUCUACCUGGUGGCCGGCGUCCCCGUCGGCCUGGGCUACAACGCCCUGCUCGUCCUGGUCAACCUGCACGACCAGAGCAGCAUGACCAUGCCCGACGUCUACUUCGUCAACAUGGCCGUGGCGGGCCUGGUGCUCAGCGCCCUGGCGCCCGUGCACCUGCUGGGCCCCACCGCCUCCGGGUGGGCCCUGUGGGGCUUCGGCAGCGAGGCCCACGUCACGCUGCUGGUGCUGUUCAACGUCUCCUCCCUGGUGACCAUGUACUCCACGGCCCUGCUCAGCCUCGACUGCUACAUCGAGCGGGCGCUGCCGCGCACCUACAUGUCCAGCGUCUACAACACGCGACACGUGUGCGGCUUCGUCUGGGGCGGGGCCCUGCUCACCAGCUUCUCCUCCCUGCUCUUCUACGUCUGCAGCCACGUGGCCGCCAGGAUCGUCGAGUGCUCCAAGAUGCGGGACGCGCAGGCCGCGGACGCCAUCAUGGUGUUCAUCGGCUACGUGGUCCCCGCCCUGGCCGUGUUCUACGCGCUGGCGCUCAUCUCGAGGAUCCGGAAGGCGGACACGCCGCUCGACCAGGACGCGGGGAGGCCGGACCCCUCGGUGCACAGGCUCCUGGUGGCCACCGUGUGCACGCAGUUCGGGCUCUGGACGCCUCACUACCUGACCCUCCUGGGGCACACGCUGCUGGCCUUGCGGGGGAAGCCCGUUGACAGGCACCACCUGGGGAUCCUGCUCUUCGCCAAGGACGUGGCGAGAUUCCUGGCCUUCUCCAGCAGCUCCGUGGUGCCGCUCCUUUACCGCUACAUCAACAGAAACUUCCCCAGCAAACUCCGGCGGCUGAUAAAGAAAAUGCACUGCGGGCGCCAGAGCUGCUCCCCGGACCAAGCAGGGGUACAGCAGGUGAUGGCGUAGAGCCGGCGGCUGGGGUCACGGCCGCUCGCUGAGCGCGGGUCCUGGGGCCGCCACCAGUGCCCCGGUGGGGUCAUCGGACGGGCAGUCAACGGCGUACUUCCCGGAGGCACGGUCCGGGCCCCCUCCUGGGAGACAGGCGACCGACACUUGACCUGGAUGCACAGCACUUUGUCACUGCCCGCUCUGUCACGCUCUUCCCCAGGACGUCACUGAGGCCGGGACCCAGAACAGCACGAGGCGUGUUCUCUCCAAGUUUUCUGCUUCCAGACAGGCCGCUCUUAGGCCAAGGCCACGCGGUCCAAGGCGGGAGGGGCCUGGCGUGAAAAACAGCUGCCUGCCCACCUGCUUCGGGCGGACGCACUGCUCGGUCGUGCGGGGCCACACCCGCAAUAGCGUCCUCAGCCUGGCCGCCUCCACCCUGGGUUUCUGAACGAAGUCAGGAGAAUCCAAAUCCAGUGUUUAUAUUCUGCGCCGGCAAAAUACCCGAUUCCGUCUCUUGCGCUUAUAAAAAGAUUCGAGAGAAGUCACCAAAGCCUGAAAGCGAAGGAAGCAACACGAAGGGCACUCCCGUUGGACGGACGGGCGGGCUCCUGCUACCGCAGGGUCGUGCUGGGUGGGGUGAGGCGGGGAGAGGCGCGUGCCGUGCCACGCACACAGGCAGCGUGCAAAUGCUUCAGAAGGACAGGGCCAGCAGUGUGGCUGGUCUUAGGCGGAGGGCCCUUAACUGGUACCCCUGCUGCCCUCCCCGGUGACCUCAGCUAACCGUCUUCAGUAGAAGCCAACUCCCCAAAGUGUGCACAAAACCCCACGCUAAUAGUAAACCGAAGAGAGGAAAGCGCGGUGAGGAUUUCCAACCUAACACAGAAGCUGGGAGGGACCGCCUGGGGAGUCACAGGCCUGCAAGGCGGAGCCCGGUCUGGCACGGGGGCAGAGCGUGGGGCCACCACUGCCACCUCACACCCGACAACAGCCUGCUUCGCCAGACGCGGCGCGUGCCUGGAUCCUUCCACGCCGCGUCCCAUAAACACCUGCUCUAAAACCGUGGCAGAAGCCCCCUGCUCUCCUCGACACCAUCCGCUCACCUGCACCCCGACGUCACGACGCACCACAGGCCUGCAGCCCCCCAACUGCACCUCUGAAACCCACAAAGCUCUAAAAACAGGAAGAUUUGUUUGUCAAGUUUGCGGCACAUUCCCUUGGUAGCAAACCUUGAGCUGAAGUGGUAGGAGAGCGCUUUUCUGAGGAAAGAGGAGCGUGAAUGUGAUUACGGGGCACUGGCCCGGCCCCACAGGGCCCCGUAACACGCAGCACACACAGCAUGUUAACUGCGUGCGCGCAAACGCAGAGAACAGGUGAACGUAGGUCGUUUGCCAAAAGCAGCCGGAAGCAUGCACACGCCUUAAGAUCUCAUUCGCGUGUCACCCUACGCUUUCCUGCGGGGUUACGGUGACAGGGAGCGGCUGGGGCUGGCAGCUUGGGAACUCCAACCCGCGUUUAGAGGUUGUACCGUUUGCCUCGAGUUCUACGUAAAUCACGAAGAAGAUCCUGCUGAAGAAAAACCCACACGUUUGAAGACUUAAGUCACUUGACACAAAUCACCCACCUUCGGAAUUCUCAAAAUGUGUAUUUCCAGGGGUGUAUGACGUGUGGCAGAAACCGGCACGGGACUUAGCCUGUUUCCCCUGGUGACACGGGGCCCGCCACUUUUCGUUACUCCUCUGCUGCAGUGGCACAGCAGCAGCGUGUACCUGCACGCAACCUCAGGCAGCGCGGGGCGCACCCCGAACCCCGUGAGGACAGCCCCCCAAGUCUGGCAAACGUUCUUUCCCGAGAACGGACGUUUGACAACUGCUGACGCGUCCCGAGGGCCGAGGACAGAACUGAGUGGCCCCAGCGGCUCCGUGUGGGAGGGCCUGUCCCCCCGGCGGGAGGGCCUCGUCCCCCCGGGCAAGAGGGGAGCGUGCCGUGCACACGGCGAGUAAAUCUGAGUAACGAACAGGGAGUCUCUGGGAAUGAAAGAAUCCGAAUUUACCCAUCUUACGUUAAUAAAGAACGCGAGGCGCAAAGAAUUUUACCAUUUGCCUCAUUCCGUACGCGUGUAACACUGAAGUCCCGGGGACAAGCAUUUGUUGAGUGGCUGUGACAUUCUCGCCCCUCCUCCCGGUAUUUGAAAACCGCUUCCCGGGAGGCUCUUGCGGGCCCGUGUGCCACUAACAUCACGUGAACCGAGGAAACGAUGCUACUGUCCGAAAUGCUGUGAAGUCGGAGCGCGGUACGUUUCUACGUUCCGGCAGGGAACACGGGACUCCGACCCGCUCUGCAGCUGGGAGCGCAGGCGUGUGUGCGGGGCGCCACCUAGUGGCCGCCGGCAGAGCUUCGCCCUGCAGGGCAGCUGGGCGCCGGCCACAGAACCCUGACCGCGCCUGCACAGGGUGCUUCUCGCAGGGUUUACAGCCCAUGUGGUCAGGGUCGGCGGGUCGUGCUCGGUGAUUUAUACCUUGGGGGCCUUCACCCCAAACCAGCCGCGGAGGAGCAGACACCCCGCCCCGCGCUCCCCAACAAUCGGACGAGGGAAACUCCGCCCUGCGGAUACCACGUGACUCAGGGAAUUCAGGGCACAUUGCGCUUUUCCAAAAACACGUGGUCAGCAGCAGUGGAGAGGAGCACUCGGACCACCCAGGCGCUGCUCCGCACACACACGCGUGUGCACACGCGUGUGCACACACACACUGGAGCCAGCAGAACCUGGCGCAGACAGGGACAGCAGCCAAGUCCGGCCUAGGACGCCGGACUUCUGCGCGGUUACGGCUGGGCGCACUAUGUUUCCAGGGACGGCAGCCCCACACAGAGAUUUCCGAUCGCCAGCUGAAGCCGUGGCAGGGAGCAUAGGUGAGAAAGAGACAGUUCAAAGAUUAUAAACGCUUUUAAAAGACGUUGCAGGGGCGCCUGGGUGGCUCUGUCGGUUAAGCAUCCGACUCCGACUCCAGACUUCAGCUCAGAUCACAAUCUCAUGGGUGGGAUCAAGCCCCACCUCGGGCUCUGUGCGGCCCCCACGGAGCCUGCUUGGGACUGUCUCUCUCUCCCUCUCUCUGCCCCUCCCCAGCUCACGCGUGUGCACCAAGUAAAUAAAUAAACUUAAAAAGAAACGCUGAAAAGGCUCUCUCUCUAAAGAGGCGGUGGUGAGUGGCAGGGGGCUGGAGGGGAAAGUGCUCCCGCCCGCGGCCUCCGGGCCUGCCCGUGAACGGCCAGCUGGAAGGCCCCACAAGGCCGGCCUCUGCUCCGCGGGGCUGCCCCUCCCGUGCAUAGUCUCAAAGCCUGCGGAGCGCCACUACAAAGGGACAGGGCUCCACGGAGCAGGGCCUGGGGCACCUUGACCUAGGAAGUGAGGACAAACGGAGAUGACCACGGCCACGCCCCCAGUGCCGACAGGACCCAGGCCCCGGCUGGAAGUGGUUCCUCCUGGCCAUGUUUGGGACAACUUGAGCAAACAAAAAGUGAAGAAUUAAAAGGGAAAAAAAAGCCCACAGAGACACUCAAAAAGGCAGGAAGCAGAGGGGAAAAGGAAGCAAAGGAGAAAACCAGCGCGUCUCCGACGCAGGAAUGGAAGGAUGGGCACCGCACAGGGAGGCUGUGGGCAAAGACGGCCAGGAGCGUCCGUGUGGUCCAAGCAGCACCUGCGGCCAACUUCUCAGCGAGGGGGGCCUGUGAGCAGGGUGCCCAGGCCCGUCGCCCCGCCAGAAGCACAUGCCCACCUGUACCCGGGGCAGGAGGGGCCUCAGUGCCCCUGAGAGGGGCCAUGGGGUCAGGCUGUGCGGCCACGGCUAAUGCCCGAAAGGCAAGGCCUGGCCUGCGGGCAGGCAAAGGACAGGCUGGCCAGCCCGCCGGGGGGGCCGGACGCCACACCGGGGAGCAUCAGCCCCAAGACGGAGAAGUGAGUAGCAGAGGCAGAACCCAAAAGACGGGCGGGAGGCAGUGCGGGGUGGAGUGGUCCUGCGGGGAGUCAGGGAUGAGGGGUGGACGGCUGGGCGGAGGCGUGGAGAGACGGGCCGGGUCCCCACAAAGGAAGGAGACCACGAAUUCCUGGUGGGUCCAGACGUCCUGAGCUUGGAUCCCAGUGGCCUUCCAAUCCCCGAACUGUCUCCCAGACUCCAUCACUGUUCCUUGGGCCACUGUCCCUGGACUCUAGGCUAGGGACUCCCAAAUUCCUGGCCUCCUUAUUUCCACAGGCAGCCCUGUAGGCGGUCCCCAGACUGAGGACGGAAGCCCUCAGGGGCACUGCCAGCCUCUCCGUGGCCCCCCCACUGCUCCCUGUGCAGAGCCCGGGCCACCUGGGAGUUCCCGUGACCCUCCUGCCGGGUCACACGUGGCUCAAUAUCCCUCUGACUUCCCAGGUCGUGCGGUCAUACGACUAGCGGCACCGGACAGGGGCCGGGCCUCGCGGGAGCUGAGACACGGGUGACAUACAGCGGCCUCUCCUAGAAGCCAGCAGCUGCCGCAGCGUGGCCCACGCUCCACGGCGACUUUCGGGCAGCGGGACCUGCGGGCCAGGAAGGAAAGGCCGUCGCGGUGAAUCCCUGCCCGGGUGCGCUGUCAGGACGGUGGACGGACACCUGCCCGAACAGCAGCGCAGACAGACAGGGCCUGCCCCUCGAGUCCCUCCACUCGCUGAGGGGGUCAAGGAGAUGCUUCUGUGACGACCCACGGUUCCACAGGGUGUGAACAACGCUCUUGCAAAGCGCCUGCUCCGGCAGGCCCCCUGCACGUCGCGCCCCGCCUGCCCCCCCCAGGAGCACGGAGCCCGCGCCCUCCCGGCCUCGGCCGACGCCCUUCACCUCCCCACCCGCAGCGCCCCAUCCGCAAGGGGAGAGCCGGGCAAACACGGCCGGCGGGCCGUGCACUGCGACGGGAAGGCAGGUCGGAGCCACAAUAACCCAGAUACGGUUUUCCUCUGAGAGAUGUGUCCACAAAGCCCAGGUCCCCCAGUGUCUGAAAAAGCCCCGUUACUUAGUGCUAUGGGUCUGCUGUGAGAUUCCGCGGGUGACGGAGGCCACAUGAGCCGGGAGACAAAUCAGGAAGCAGCCGGCAGGCCAGCCGCCUUGGCGACAGGCCAGCCCGAGACGCCAGCCCACACGUCUGCAGGGCUCGCUCCCAGGCCGCGGCCUGGGCUGGAAUGGAGGCGUCAGUCCGUAGUCGGCCCACCCUCUCCUCCGCUUGCUGACUGGACAGCGGCAGGACGACGACAGAGCAAAGGGGGACAGAGCCCGGGGAACGGGGAUCGGCUGCCGUCAGGCAGGAGGAAGCCGUCUGAGGGGGCGGCUGCAAGGUCCGCGCACCUAAGAAUAGCGGAGGCCAGCGGCGUUUGCCUCAAGUAAUCCAUUCCCAAACACGGAAAGGUGUCUUAGUGACAAGAGUCAAGACAAAGGGGUCGUUAGUGCUGGUAUUACGGGAAGCGGGAAGCGACAGAAGAGGUGACUUCCCCGGGCAGCCACUCAUCUUCGUCUCUAGGGACCUGCUUCCCUCCCCCGACACCCACGGCGGUGGACUCACGCGGCACGUGGCUCCUCCCACCGAGCGCCGCGUCUGUACAGCACCCCCCCCCCCCCCCCCCCCCGCCUCGGGCCAGUAUCCGAAUGCCACUCCUCACGGCCGAGAAACCACAUCCCCUCGUGCCACACACAUCGACACGCACGGGGCUGCCUCCGCCUGUGGCCACUGUCGGGGGGGGGGCUGCCGUGAACACGGGUGUGCCCGUUCUGCACGGGGGAAGGCCACCUGUGGAGGCCGCGCGGGACGGCGUGGUGACGUCCGCAACCUCCGCCGUGAGCAAAGCCGAGGGCAGACGUCCCUCCCGCAGGUGUCCUCAUCUGCAAGGACAACACCCAACCGUGCGCCCUGAGAGACGGGGGUGGGUAACAGUCGCCGGUCCCGGAACGAGUUGCCGCCUUCCCAACACGGGGCCAGCGAUGCGCACCGCGAAUCGGGGACGGGGACGCUGGGCCGCAGCCUGCACUGUGAGUUCCCGCUCCAGGGGGACAACCCACCCACUGGCCGGCCCCGUGGGCAGGGGAGGGUGUAGGGCCAAGGGCAUCCCCUCCACGCUCUCGCCCAUCUCCAGGGCCCGUGUGCGCUUCGUGUAUGCAGAGCUCGGACACACUUUUACCUCCUCGCCAGCGCCUGCCAGGAAACCGCCUUCGCCUGGCCCGCACGUGGCACCGAGGGCACGUGGCCGCACGAGGCGGCGGCAGGCCCGGGGGUGAGGCGGCCCAGCGCCCCGUCCCGGGAGCCGUGUCUUCCUGCACCUCAACCCUGAUUCAGGGCCCGGGGGCUCGGGGCGCAGACGAUCCCAAGCGGGGAUCCCAAGCGGGCCCACAGACACACAGAGCCAGGAUGUGACAAGAAGGCAGGCCGAGUCCUCAAGACCCCUCAGGAGGAGGGUGCUGGGGCGCCCGAGCGGUAGACGGACAGCGGGCUGGACAGGGGGUCAGGCCAGGCUGGGCCGCAGAGGCCGGCCCACCUCAGACACACGCGGGGCCUCGUCUCUGUGAGGGUCCCGGCUCGUGGCAGAAACCUGGCUUUGCCGACUGUCCUGGGCCCCCCACGUCCCGGUGUGCUAACUCAUUUAGCCCUCCAAGACCCCGAGGGGCAAUGCUGUAAUUACUGCCAAUUUACAGGAGGAGACGGAGUCCUGGGGGCUAAGCAGCCGGCCUGACACCCCCAAUGUCAAGGCUUCAGGCUCUCCCCUCCACUCGGGACCAGGGACUCAGGAUGUAAGUCUCCGUGGUUCUUUUAGCAGCCACGCUUGUCCUGUGUUUUGUCCACCGGCCCACGGCCGGCUCGGCUGAAGCCUGGGCAGGUAGGGGGCCAGGGUGAGUGGGGAAGGCACCGCAGAGAGCGGAGGCAGCAGCCCAUGCAGGCCGGAGGAGGACGCUGCCUGUCUGCCAGCGGGGGCCACGGCACAGAGCGAGUGCACCGAGGGCACCGCAGGCAGGAGCCAAACCACACACCGGCCCUCCCAGUGGCAGCAGCUGGGGAGGACCGUGGUUUUGUCAGCUUAAGGAAGACAGGAGGUCGGGGCGGGGAGGGGGCGGGUGGCCAGCCAGGCCUGUCGCUCGUCCGGUAGCUCAGAAAUUCCCCCUCGAGGCUGGGGGAGUUCACAGGGAAGGCUAUCUUGCUAACUUAGGGCUCUCGGAGGAAGAGACCGCCAAGGCCCAAGCUCACGGACGCGGGAGGCAGGAUGCCCCCAAAGCGUAUGACAGAAACGGGUACUGCUCCCCGGGAGCUCACUCUCGCCUAAGGAGGGGGGGCCCAGAUUCCACUGACGAGAACGUCGCCCCACGACACCGUCCACAGGAGGGGCCCUUUCUGGGGGCAGUGCCCACCCACCGGUCACGUCAUCCCCAGACAUCCUUCCAAUAGCUGUGGGAAGCUCUGUAAACCUACUCACGACAGGAAGCCGGGGGGCGGGGGAGGCCUGGGGCUGCACACGGGGACUCGGAACCUGGAGACCCUGCUGGGGUCGCACACAGGGGCGCUCGGGGCCGAGGGAGGCACGCCCGGCCCUGCCGUAGCCCAGGGCUCCUCUGCUCGCCUGUGCACCGGGGGCUGGAGGCCUUUCUUCCCUACCGGCCACGCACGCUCGUCAGGGACAGGGGGCUGGUGGCCACGGGGAUCUAAUGACAAGGCACCUCGUCACCCUGGGAGCCCAGAGGAGAACGCAGGCCUGAGACUGGCAGUGGCCCAGCCCCCUCUUCCGGGCCCCAGGUCUCCCAUCUCUAGGGGAGGUCAGCCCCUUUCAGUGGUCCUCAAACCUCUGGGAGACUCCCCCACUCCAAAGCAGCUCCUCAGACCCCAGGCUCUGGGAACAGAGGCCCCAGGCCGGUUCCUUGUCAGCUGCUCGCCAGCAACAACACUGCCGUGGGGGCCACACGUUGUGAGAGACCUUCAAACAAAACACUCUCCAGCCCCAGCCUUGCUGGCGCGGGGCUCCUGGAGGUGUCCUUCGCCUCUGUGGAGCCUCUGUGGGUUUCGCACGGAGCUCACGUGGCCCUUGGAUGCCAUCAGUGACCCCAGCGGGCAGGGCGCUGCAGAGAAAGUCCCCCAGCUGCAUAAGGGACGCAGACACCUGGCAGAGGGCUCCGCAUGUCACGUCUCCCGCCGGUGCUGGCUCAGGGAAGCCACGCGUCCAAACUCGUGUCUCAGCUCUUACUUCCUUGAGGCAGGCCCCCUCCUUCAGGAGUUUGGGGACCCCCAGGCCACUUCCUGACUCUCCGUGCUGACCCCAUCCUCCCUCCAAAACUCGCACCUGCCUCGUGCCCAGCCUUGCCAGGCCACGGGUGACCAGCGCCCUUCAGGCGACAGCGCCCUGACUCUGCCUAACCCCGAGGGAGGCUCUAGGCACAGGCCCGCAGGGCAAUAAGGGAUCAGUCUGCCUCUGUGUUCAGGACUCCGGCUGCCUGAUGCCCACACCCCGUUGUCGGGGGGCAGAGGGCAGAGGGCAGAGCCCCAAGCCCCGGCCUGGGUGGUGCCAACGCGGGCCCUGGGGCCGAGCGCUCUCAAGGGAAGGUUUCGGGGACUUUCCCUUGGCUAGACAGGUUGUGAGCGCUUCUUCUGUAUUACGGGUGGGGUUUUAGGUCCUAUUUCAAGCUGCAGACGCUGCCCGCUUUCUGGGAGGGACUGUUUAGCGUGUGGAAUCCGCUGGGUGCCCACAGUCGCUGGGAGGCACACGCGUUACUUGUUCCGGCCGCCACACCGGUGACUCUGUACGUAGGCCGACUUGAACCUGUCUGGGUCACGCGGCCAAAGCAUAUGCUGUUCCCAGUGCAGCCUGUGUGGCUGGAACGACCUAAGACUGAAUUCCUGUCCUCCUUACAGAACUGGAGGUCUCUGCCCGGCCGCUGCCAGCAAGGGAGCUCGUGGGGAGGGGAGGACCGGAGACGGACAGGAGCCGCCUGCACAGCUCACAGGCCCUGGCACAGUCAGCCGCCAACCCUCUGGGCUUCCUUUUCUUUCCCCGCCUCCGUCUGCUUCCCCACCACCCGCUCAGCCGCCGGCCGGGGGACGGGCGAUUUCACGGUUGAGCGACGUUUCACUCUGAAAACUCAGGUUUCUUUAUACUGUAGAUUGGCUCCAGUAAAAAGUAAAACAGAGUUCAUUUUCCUAGACUUUCAGCCUGGAAGUGACUGAACAGACCGCUCAGGGCUUCCUCGUUCAAAAAAAGAUGAUCACUGGCUCCAGCGCUGUGUCCUGAAGACAGAACCGGAAAGGCUUGUCCAUGGGCAGCACACACAUCUGGAUGCAGACUGAAGCCGCCAGAGGCGUGGCUAGCGCGGGGGCACGAACACGGAGAAGGUUCGGUCUGGCAGAGCACAGUGUAUGCACCUUCCAGCAGCCACAUCUGGCACGUGCCACAGGCGACACUCCGGACAGUUCAGGAAUUUGCGUCUUCAGGCGACCAGGAUGGGGACGAGGGGGCUGCCCGGCAGCAGGUCCCCACAGAAGGAUGUGGGCCAGCAGCCACACUGCCCCUCAUGUUCCCGUCCCAGCCCACGGGUCCACGAAAGCUCACGCCCUCCACGCCACGCCUCCGUCAAGCGGGCCGGGCUGGACGGCGGCGCAGGGCCUGGCCACGGAUGGGCUGCACGGUGACUCAUCGGGCCCCAGGGCUCCCAGUCUGCAGGGAGCACAGGAGACUGGGAUGGAAACAUUUAUGCAGCCAAGACCAGAAGGCGCUAAAGAAGCCAAGUCCUGCCAGAGGGAGCGCGGGAGCCAGGGAGGGAGGAGCUGGCCAAGAGGGAGAAGGGCUUGGCGCCUCGGGACACCGCGGGAAGGAAUCCUCCCGAGGGCCCGGGCGGGGCAAGAGGCCGUCGACGUGCUCCAUCCUGUAACUCAACGUCUGCCCACCUUCCUGCCAUCAGAUCGACACAGAGCGUGUAACGCGGCCACCACACGCUCACACACCUGCCAAGCCACGAGCUGGUGGAGACGCCACGGCGCCCGGAGACGGUGGCGCCCCGAGUGACAAGUGUCCGAAGGUUCACCUGUGGGACCCACGGGGCUGCAGGCACGGCGACACGGGGCAUCGAGGGGGUGGUGUAUGCCCGCUGGCCAGCCGGGCUGAGAGCACAGAGGAAUCACCCGGGACGCUGCCUCCAGGGGACACGCUUACGCGCACACGUGCACACACCUCCCCCCAGGAGACGCAGCGCACCCCCAUCUGACCUCAAAGGCUCGUGCUCUUUCCACACAGAGAAGCAGCUUAUGACCUUCCCAGAUCACCUGUGAGACGGGCACAGGACUGGAAAGGACCCAGCAAAACACAAACACGAGAGCGAAAACCCAGAGACCAGGCAGAGGUCCGCAGCGGGCUCACAGCCCUGGAGCCACUGCUCAUCCGGGGGGAUGACGAGGACCACGCAGAAGCGGGGACCCGAGUGCGCCCAGCGCAGCCCCCAGGGAUGGGAGGGAGACUCAACCACGGCACGCGGGUCCCUAACGAUGCAGCCAGGGGGGCGGAGGCGGCCGCAGGGGGACGGCCCGGGGAAGCACAGGCUGCACCACCGGCCAGAGCCCCGCUCCGGGAGGACGAGGGAGCCCCGCGCACCAACCCUCCUCCCAUCCUGGAAGACUUUCCGAGGAGCUACAGCCACGAGCUUCUGUAAAGGACACAAAAUUCUCAAGGCUCUGGCCUUGGCCAGCUCCCCGGGGACCCUGGAGCUGGACCUUGGCAGCCCUUCCUCGUGGCUCAGAAAAGGGCCCCAGAAGCUCUGGUUCUCAGCCCAAAACUGGCACUGGAACAAAGCACGGGCGGUCCUGGAGGGUCGGCUCGUCCCCAGGGAAUUCGGUCUCAGGUGAGAUCUGGGCUUUAGCACAGGGGUGGGAAGUGCAGGUUCUGGCAGGGAAGCCAAACAGCACGGCCUCGCGGACCGACGCGGGCGGCCUCACGGCAGGUUAGAAACAGUCCGAGCUCAUCGACAGGUGCGCGGCGCAGGAAGACACGGCGCACGCGCACAGCGGGACGGCAUCCACCCGUGACGUGGAUCGGCACACGGACCGGCCACGCGCCACGCUCAGCGAGGCAAAUCAGAGGACAAGCCCUGCGUGACUCACACACACGUGGAAGCUAGGGAGGUUAAACCUACUGUAAAAAAAUGGCAGGGACCUGGGUGGCUCAGAGUGCUGGUGUGGGCUCAGGUCACGGUCUCAGGGCUUGUGGUGGAGCCCAGGGUUGGGCGGAGCCUGCGUGGGAUUCUCUCUCCCUCUUCCUGCCCCUCCCCUGCUCACACGCUUCUCCGUCUUUUGAAAUAAACUUUUUGAAAGAAAAAGACCAGGGAGACGGUGGUUAUGGAGGGAGGGGGGUGGGAGUAAAACGAACGACGUGUAAGGACACACACGUGAACGGGAGGCGACAAAGGCGACAGAGACCCAGCGUACAGCUGACGACCGCAGACAGGAUGACGGGAGGCCUCGCCAACACCACCACGGCGGGACUCUCCUCACAGGAACACACCAUACGCCUCGUCUUUGCAACGCGUAACGUCACAUUUAUCAGACGGAAAAUUUAACAACAAACAAGAAAACCUCGCGUUCCCGCUUAUAAGUAUCCACCCAAGGGGAAAAACUACUACGCUUGCCUGUAAAAAUGUACGUUCGUGUAUAAAAACCGUAAAGCAGCUGUGACAGCCAAAUCCUGGAAUUAACCCUGCUUUGUGUGCUGCUGGGACACACUGGGGCCUUCCUUUCCUUGAAUGUCCCCCUGCCUGGGAAGGGGCUGUCCUGGAGCCUGGCGAGCAGGCGGGUGGUCUACGGACACGAGCAAGCAUGGAGGCCGGCACACGGCCCCGCCCCGCGGACGACACGGUGAGGCUGGAGCCCCCUCGGCCCCAAGGAAGGCCCCCUGCUUCUGGAGAAAAGCGCAGGGCGAGGCGAGAAGCAGUCGACAGGCUGACGAGCCUGGGACGAGCUCUCAAGGCCUCCGUCCUCCUGGCUGGGUGACCCAGAGCCCGGCCACCAAAUCAGAUGACCGAGUGCACUGGCACAAGCCAGGGGGCCUCUGACAACGAAUGCCCCCGAAACCACCGGCAAAGACGAUACGCUUCGCCCCAGGAAGUGCCCGGAACACUGGUCAGCUGUAGGGAUCGGACACGGGGACAGCCUAAUGCGUUUCCUGACCUGUGGUCAAUGUUCACAGGAUCUGCUUUCCAAUUUGCCUUAAUUAAAGAUUAACAUGCCGAAUCAC